GUUGUCUAAUAUUUCAUACGAGUUUGGGCAACUAGCUAUUAAUUCAUCUUUGUCAAUGCUAAAACCCAUGAUACACAGUCCAUGUACCUCAUUCUCACUUUGCCCUUCAAAUCCACAAAUUACUGACUUCAAGAGUGAAAUUGCUGUCAGUUUGUGAAUUUAAGACUUAUUAUUUGUGGAUUCAAUUUGCAUGUCUUGACAAGAAUUUUCUUUGAGUGGUUAAUGGGCUUCCUUGCCUUCAUUGGAGGCACUUAUGUGUCAGCCUGUUCAUAACAUGGGACACAUCUUGUUUUUAUAGCACAAGACAAGUGCCUUCCAUUGUUAAUAGAUGAUGUAGGAUUUGAACUUUGAAUUAUCUGAUGCCUUUUUUUUAUUGUCAUUUUUCAUAUGGGGCAGAGGCUCUAACUUUUUAUUUCUGAUUGAUGUGGGAUUGAAACUUUUUAUCUGUCAGCCCCCAAACCACAUUUCUUUCUGCCCUUCUCAUCUCUCUCUUUUUCAAUUUUAUUUGUUUUUAAGUAAAGAACCAAGGUAAAAUCAUUAUCUUUCUUUUUAUUUGUUUGAUUUCCUAUAAAUAGGAUGGACCAAUCAAUAAUACUUCUUUCUUAACAAGCAAUGAAUGAGCACAGGCACAUACAUUAAAAGAUACAGGAAUUUCAACUGAAUAUAAGACACCGUAUGAGCAAAUUUGGAUGUUUAUGUGAAUGAACAAUAAUUUUUGAAAUUUUUAUAUAAUAUAAUUAUGAUUAAUAUUCUAUAGAUGUUCUGGACUUGUCAAUUUUUU
RNAcentral lists this unclassified non-coding RNA (781 nucleotides) under Hevea brasiliensis (rubber tree). Lineage: Eukaryota; Viridiplantae; Streptophyta; Magnoliopsida; Malpighiales; Euphorbiaceae. The record is from RNAcentral.